GGAGGAGGAUCCUGCACGCAAUUUUCCUUGAGUCUACUGUGCUGGAGGGAGGAUCCUGCACGCAAUUUUCCUUGAGUCUACUGUGCUUGGAGGGAGGAUCCUGCACGCAAUUUUCCUUGAGUCUACUGUGCUGGAGGGAGGGUCCUGCACGCAAUUUUCCUUGAGUCUACUGUGCUGGAGGGAGGAUCCUGCACGCAAUUUUCCUUGAGUCUACUGUGCUGGGGUGAGGAUCCUGCACGCAAUUUUCCUUGAGUCUACUGUGCUGGAGGGAGGAUCCUGCACGCAAUUUUCCUUGAGUCUACUGUGCUUGGAGGGAGGAUCCUGCACGCAAUUUUCCUUGAGUCUACUGUGCUGGAGGGAGGAUCCUGCACGCAAUUUUCCUUGAGUCUACUGUGCUGGAGGGAGGAUCCUGCACGCAAUUUUCCUUGAGUCUACUGUGCUGGAGGGAGGAUCCUGCACGCAAUUUUCCUUGAGUCUACUGUGCUGGAGGAAGGAUCCUGCACGCAAUUUUCCUUGAGUCUACUGUGCUGGAGGGAGGGUCCUGCACGCAAUUUUCCUUGAGUCUACUGUACCGGGGGGAUAAUCCGGCACGCAAAUUUCCUUGAGUCUAUCACUGAAAGGUAAUGGCUGGCUGGCAAUGUGAAGAAUGUUGGGCGGGACGAAGGGAGAACUGCCGGCUGCUGAAGGAGGGAAGAAGCAGUCUUAGUUACAGGCGACCCCCGGGUUUUCGGGCAGCAGUGGGUUGGCGGGCUCGUCCUGGGCCUCCCCCACGUGUGCUUCCUUAUGAACCAAGGCAAGCUGGAACUCCUCGUGGUGGUACUGCCCUGGUCCCUCGUGUUGCUGCUGCCCCUACCGGAGGCCCUUCGCGCACCAGCCCCGCACAGACUCCGAGACAAAACAGAACACUUGUAAGAAAUUUUGUCUCGAGUCAAUUGAAAAAUAUGAAGUUUACAUAGUGAUUUGGGAAUGGAAACUGAGGGCUUGUUGAACACGUCCCGUUUAAUUAAGGCCACUCCUUCUAUUCUUCCUUCUUGUCCU
This is a long non-coding RNA of Eriocheir sinensis (Chinese mitten crab), 1038 nucleotides long. RefSeq lists it as uncharacterized. The record is from RefSeq and is a predicted model, not a curated record. NCBI's taxonomy places the organism in Eukaryota, Metazoa, Arthropoda, Malacostraca, Decapoda, Varunidae. The transcript is spliced from 3 exons.